AAAUAUAUUUAGACUAUAUUUAAACAAUAGUAAAAGGGCACUGGCACAACAAGCUUGCUAUCUUCUGUUUGGACUGUUCAAAAUGCAUUCAAACGACUCCUGAAAAUAGCUAUGUGUGAUUCUGUGGUUGACAGAAACUAUGAGUGGGACAUGUCUGUUUUGCACCAUAUAUGUCAAUGCAACCCACAUCAUUGGAGAUAUGCAAGAUUUCAUUUCUCAGCCACACACAAACACUCUCCAGCUGACUGUCAGGCCGCUGCCUGGUGUGAUAUUUACAUUAAUUCAUAUUUACACCACAAAAAAAAUCUUAUUUUUAAUCAGUAUUUUUGUCUGGUUUUCGAAGUAAAAACGAAUCUAACCAUCCUUAAAUUUAGAUACAUUGUUUUAAGAAACAAAAUGGAAUAAGUUAUUAAAAUUGAAUAUUCACAUUGACUGCAAUAAGUAUUUCAUCACUAAAGCCACCUAAAAAAAAACAAAAAAAACUUUAUAAUAGGUGGCCUUACCUACCAUGUACUAACAUCAUACACCUACUACGGAUUUACUGUGUAACUACAUGUUGUUCUGGAAAAUGACCACAUUUACUUCAAAUGUGUUUGAGUUAUGAUUAGGAUUAUAGAGGUUAGUUAGGUUUGGGGGUAAUGGUAAAAUUAGGAUUAGGAUUAUAGGGGUUAAAAUUCAGUUUGGGGAUAAGGUUAGCAUUAGGAUUAUAGGAUUUAGAUUUAGGUUUUUUGGUAAGAGUAGGCUCAGGAUUAUGAUUAUAAGGGGUUAGGGUUAGGGUUAGGGUUCCUUUAUUCCAGAUUGGAUGAACAAAAACUCAUUGCUGUGGGGAAUACGUACAGAAAUGCAACAGAAGCUAAAGUGUUCCUUCAUUACAUCUCUGAGGUUGAGAGGUUGAACACUGCAAAAUUCAUUGCACUUAUGACUGAUGGUUCAACAGACAGCUCUGUAAGUGAGGAGGAGAUGGUCUACGUUAGAACCUGUGUGGCAGGCAGUGUGGAGUCAAAGUUUAUAGGAAUAAAGGCGGUGGAGAGGGUAGAUGCAGAAAACAUUAACAGAUGUUGUCAAAGAGGUCAUGGGGACACUUAGUGAAGACUGGGAGAAGAAACUGGUGGCGAUAACCACAGAUGGUGCGGCUGUAAUGACUGGAUCAAAAAAUGGUGUUGUCUGUCGUCUAAAAAAAGAGAAAACAUAUGUUGUGGGAGUCCACUGUAUGGCACAUCGACUAGAGCUCAGUUUCAAAGAUGCAAUAAAAGGCGUCAGUCUUUUCCAGAGAGCUGAGGAACUUCUGAUAGGUCUAUACACUUUUUAUCACGUCAGUCCCCAAAACCGUGCAAAACUCAUCAACAGCUUCAACGAGUUGGCACUGACUCAGACCAGAAUAGGUGGCACAAGAUCUAACCUCCUACGUGCCUUAAACCACUUUUUUAGAGGAUACCCUGCUAUAACCCAACACCUACAGCAGGUGGGCCUCUCAAAUAAAAUGCUGAUUUUCUUAAGUUAAGUUAAACACUGAAACAUUUUAUGGUUGAAUAAUUAAUGAAAUGCCGUAACUGCAAGUCAUAAUUUGCUUAGCUAGACUGACUUAUGGCGCUUUUCCACUACAUGGUACGGCACGGUACGGUUCGGUACGGUUCACUUUUGGGAGGUUUUCCACUGGGUACAGUACCUGGUACUUUUUUUAGUACCACCUCGGCCGAGGUUCCAAGCGAACCGUACCGUUACCAAAACGUGACGUGUAAACUCUGCUGAUCACUGAUUGGCCGGAGAAAAUCGUCACUGCCUGCGUCAUUGAACUUGCGGCAUGAGUUCGCUUGAUGGAGUGACGCGGAAUGAAAAAGUUUUUCAGGAGUCAUGGCAGUAGAGACGGCGCAACUAUAACGAUACGUGAAUAAUCCUGCCCACUCUAAAGCGGUACUAAACUGCAGUGGAAACGCAAACCAAGCUGAACCGAGCCAUGCCGAGCCAAGCAGUACCACGCAGUGGAAAAGCACCAUUACUGUACUAUGAUAAACCUAUGUAUGUUUUUGUGCAAUUUUAGAUGACAUCCCCUGGUGGCCAAGAAGUCCAUGAGGUGCAGAAAAGCAAGGCCAAGAAAUUAAGCAACACUGCCAAAGAUGCUGCGGUGCUUAGAUUUUGUGGAUCUCUGUUUGACACUAUGACCCAUCUCAGUAGCUUUGUCUGAGUCUCUGCAGAGGCCUACAGCUGUCUGCGCUCCACACAAGCAGUGUUGCUUAAGUAUAAAACCAUAUUUUGGAGAUGCAGAAAUUGAGUGUUUAGUUCAUCCCCUGAAGUUAUUCCAGACCAGUGGACCAUGCUGAAAGCAAAGCUGUAUCUUGAGCCCCAGCAGCUGAAAACCCUGACUUGGGUGAACAUAAAUCGACUUCACGGAACAACCUACUCUGACAGUCCUGACUAUCCCUGCAUCAACUGCUGAGUGUGAGAGGGGAUUUAAUGUAAUGAAACAGGUCAGGCAUGGUGCUGACGCACAGUGUAACUGCCGUAAUGGCCACAAAGACCACUGAGAGGCAGGCAAAGAUCUUCCCAGGAAUCCCGGAGUGAGGGUUCUCCACC
Long non-coding RNA from Onychostoma macrolepis, 2571 nucleotides. RefSeq lists it as uncharacterized. The transcript is spliced from 3 exons. NCBI's taxonomy places the organism in Eukaryota, Metazoa, Chordata, Actinopteri, Cypriniformes, Cyprinidae. The record is from RefSeq and is a predicted model, not a curated record.